AUAUUGGUCAAUGGACGCAAGUCUGAACCAGCCAUGCCGCGUGGAGGAUGAAGGUCCUCUGGAUUGUAAACUUCUUUUAUUUGGGAAGAAACCCACAUUUUCCAAUGUGGUUGACGGUACCAGAUGAAUAAGCACCGGCUAACUCCGUGCCAGCAGCCGCGGUAAUACGGAGGGUGCAAGCGUUAUCCGGAUUCACUGGGUUUAAAGGGUGCGUAGGCGGGUUGGUAAGUCCGUGGUGAAAUCUCCGAGCUUAACUCGGAAACUGCCGUGGAUACUACUGAUCUUGAAUGUCGUGGAGGUAAGCGGAAUAUGUCAUGUAGCGGUGAAAUGCUUAGAUAUGACAUAGAACACCAAUUGCGUAGGCAGCUUACUACACGAUUAUUGACGCUGAGGCACGAAAGCGUGGGGAGCAAACAGG
RNAcentral lists this ribosomal RNA (418 nucleotides) under uncultured bacterium. Its description in RNAcentral is "bacterial SSU rRNA". It matches the Rfam family "Bacterial small subunit ribosomal RNA", at positions 361 to 776 of the family's 1533-position model. The record is from RNAcentral.